CCAGGACAUACCUCCUCGAUGGGUCCUGUAUGGUGGAAGAGUCGGGGACCCUCGAAUCCCAGCUUGAAGCUACCAAAGUCUCAGGCCAGGCCUGGAGCAG
RNAcentral lists this small RNA (100 nucleotides) under Pan troglodytes (chimpanzee). RNAcentral's name for it is "processed transcript". The record is from RNAcentral. Lineage: Eukaryota; Metazoa; Chordata; Mammalia; Primates; Hominidae.